RNAcentral lists this unclassified non-coding RNA (410 nucleotides) under Zea mays. RNAcentral describes it as "misc RNA Zm00001eb361160". The record is from RNAcentral. Lineage: Eukaryota; Viridiplantae; Streptophyta; Magnoliopsida; Poales; Poaceae.
GGAAAGAGAGCUAGAAGAAGGAGAAGCACAAAAGUCACCCUCCAAGAUUGUUGCUGAUAGUCUCAGCCAGAUCAGCCGCUCAUCCACCUUCCUUCCAAACAUUGGUGUCCCUACAACGUCCAAGACUGGUCGGUCCACAUCGCUAGCUGCACAAGCACGCAUGCAAGCUCAGUUUGAGGAAAAACUCCAAGCUGAAAGAGAGGAAGCUGCUAGGAAGCAGGAAGAGUUGCAAGCACAACUACAAGCUCAACAGGCCGCACUUGAAGAAAACCAAAGUUUGCUGCGCCAGACCCAAGAGGAAGUGAAGGGGAUGCAUACCAAGUUUGAAGAGACCAAUGCACUGCUACGAGUUGUCCUGAAACUUCAGAAAGAUUGAGGUAGGGAUGCAUACCAAGUCUGAGGAUGAUGCC